GACGAACGCUGGCGGCGUGCUUAACACAUGCCAGUCGAACGGAAAGGCCUUUUCGGAGGUACUCGAGUGGCGAACGGGUGAGUAACACGUGGGUGAUCUGCCCUGCACUCUGGGAUAAGCCUGGGAAACUGGGUCUAAUACCGGAUAGGACCGCACUUUAGUGUGUGUGGUGGAAAGUUUUUUCGGUGUAGGAUGAGCCCGCGGCCUAUCAGCUUGUUGGUGGGGUAAUGGCCUACCAAGGCGGCGACGGGUAGCCGGACUGAGAGGUUGGUCGGCCACAUUGGGACUGAGAUACGGCCCAGACUCCUACGGGAGGCAGCAGUGGGGAAUAUUGCACAAUGGGCGCAAGCCUGAUGCAUCGACGCCGCGUGGGGGAUGACGGCCUUCGGGUUGUAAACUCCUUUCGCCAGGGACGAAGCGUUUUGUGACGGUACCUGGAGAAGAAGCACCGGCUAACUACGUG
RNAcentral lists this ribosomal RNA (463 nucleotides) under uncultured bacterium. RNAcentral describes it as "partial 16S ribosomal RNA". It matches the Rfam family "Bacterial small subunit ribosomal RNA", at positions 28 to 507 of the family's 1533-position model. The record is from RNAcentral.